Molecule: transfer RNA, 68 nt
Filed under: Marmota monax (woodchuck)
Lineage: Eukaryota; Metazoa; Chordata; Mammalia; Rodentia; Sciuridae
Description: tRNA.Ala
Rfam family: tRNA (bases 6-63)
About the family: Transfer RNA (tRNA) molecules are approximately 80 nucleotides in length. Their secondary structure includes four short double-helical elements and three loops (D, anti-codon, and T loops).
Source: RNAcentral
GGAUAUAGCUCAGUUGGUAGAGUGCUUGCCUUGCAUGCACAAGGCCCUGGGUUCGAUCCCUAGCACCA